RNAcentral lists this ribosomal RNA (412 nucleotides) under uncultured bacterium. RNAcentral's name for it is "bacterial SSU rRNA". It matches the Rfam family "Bacterial small subunit ribosomal RNA", at positions 28 to 486 of the family's 1533-position model. The record is from RNAcentral.
AGUGAACGCUGGCGGCAGGCCUAACACAUGCAAGUCGAACGGAUGGUUUCGGCCAUCAGUGGCGCACGGGUGAGUAACGCGUGGGAAUCUGCCCGGCAGUGGGGGAUAACCUCUGGAAACGGAGGCUAAUACCGCAUACGCCCCUUGGGGGAAAGGCUUGCUGCUGUCGGAGGAGCCCGCGUCGGAUUAGGUAGUUGGUGGGGUAACGGCCUACCAAGCCUGUGAUCCGUAGCUGGUCUGAGAGGAUGAUCAGCCACACUGGGACUGAGACACGGCCCAGACUCCUACGGGAGGCAGCAGUGGGGAAUAUUGGACAAUGGGCGCAAGCCUGAUCCAGCAAUGCCGCGUGAGUGAUGAAGGCCUCGGUUGUAAGCGUCUUCGUCCACCGACGAUGAUGACGGUAGUGGGAGAA